AUGCAGUCGAGGGGUAGAGUUCUUCGGAGCUUGAGACCGGCGCACGGGUGCGUAACGCGUAUGCAAUCUACCUUUCACAGAGGGAUAGCCCAGAGAAAUUUGGAUUAAUACCUCAUAGUAUGCAGAGUUGGCAUCAACCCUGCAUUAAAGUCACAACGGUGAAAGAUGAGCAUGCGUCCCAUUAGCUAGUUGGUAAGGUAACGGCUUACCAAGGCUACGAUGGGUAGGGGUCCUGAGAGGGAGAUCCCCCACACUGGUACUGAGACACGGACCAGACUCCUACGGGAGGCAGCAGUGAGGAAUAUUGGACAAUGGGCGCAAGCCUGAUCCAGCCAUGCCGCGUGCAGGAUGACGGUCCUAUGGAUUGUAAACUGCUUUUGCACAGGAAGAAACAACUCUACGUGUAGAGUCUUGACGGUACUGUGAGAAUAAGGAUCGGCUAACUCCGUGCCAGCAGCCGCGGUAAUACGGAGGAUCCAAGCGUUAUCCGGAAUCAUUGGGUUUAAAGGGUCCGUAGGCGGUUUAGUAAGUCAGUGGUGAAAGCCCAUCGCUCAACGGUGGAACGGCCAUUGAUACUGCUAGACUUGAAUUAUUAGGAAGUAACUAGAAUAUGUAGUGUAGCGGUGAAAUGCUUAGAGAUUACAUGGAAUACCAAUUGCGAAGGCAGGUUACUACUAAUGGAUUGACGCUGAUGGACGAAAGCGUGGGUAGCGAACAGGAUUAGAUACCCUGGUAGUCCACGCCGUANACGAUGGAUACUAGCUGUUGGGAGCGAUCUCAGUGGCUAAGCGAAAGUGAUAAGUAUCCCACCUGGGGAGUACGUUCGCAAGAAUGAACUCAAAGGAAUUGACGGGGGCCCGCACAAGCGGUGGAGCAUGUGGUUUAAUUCGAUGAUACGCGAGGAACCUUACCAGGCUAAAUGUAGAUUGACGGU
Molecule: ribosomal RNA, 934 nt
Filed under: uncultured bacterium
Lineage: Bacteria
Description: bacterial SSU rRNA
Rfam family: Bacterial small subunit ribosomal RNA
Source: RNAcentral